Long non-coding RNA from Nicotiana tabacum (common tobacco), 1167 nucleotides. RefSeq lists it as uncharacterized. Lineage: Eukaryota; Viridiplantae; Streptophyta; Magnoliopsida; Solanales; Solanaceae. The record is from RefSeq and is a predicted model, not a curated record.
GAUAUAGAAAUGAAUGGAGGGAGUACUUUUGUACAAUUUUCUAUCUUAAUCCUCGCACUUUCUUUGUUUUUUUCUUGCAAAGUAAUAGAAGAACAAAAUGGGUUGUUCUGGCUACUUCUGCCAAACACUAAGAUGACCUCAAUGGUAAACUACUAAGCUUUUCUACAUAAAUCUAUGCAAUCUUGAUUUGGAGUGCUUGGAAUAUGGUUUAAGAAAAUUUUGAGAAGAUACUAUUCUCUAGAAAUAUUUAGUGUAUGUAGAGGUUGUACAUGGGAAUGGAACUUAUUGUAAGACAAGUUUGGAUAAGAAUACAAUGAUAGAGAAGAGGUUGAAUAAUGGGCUUCUUCAUGGAAAUUUGAAGAAAACUUCAAAAAUUGGUGAAGUUGGUUACCACCUCUUAGUGCUUAUUGUUUUGUUCACAAUGAAAAGAGAAACUUCUUUCAUGUAGUAUUGGUUACUUUCAAGAUGGAAGUGGAAUUGAUUUUAUCAAAAAUAUUGUAGUGUUUUAGAUUGUAAAAUGAGGAGAGGAUCCCACAAAGCUUUAGGUAUUUUAGGUUAGAUAUAGAAGAGUAAAUUGGCCGAUUAAAGAGAAUAAAGGUCGAGAACUACUUUUAUGAGUACUUGCAAGAAGGAGAUUGGGUCAUUUCCUCUGGGUGAAAGAUAUUGGUGUACUAGAAUGUUUGUUGCUAAUCACAGUGUAUUUAGAUACUAUGGCUGCAAAGUAGGCUGCAAAGCCUAACAAGUUAUUAUGUGCUCAAAAUCACAAUUCGGAGAAGGAAGGCAAAGCUACUAAAGAGAACAAAGAAAAUAUAAAUGGAGAACUUAAGGCCUUGAAAUCUUCGGAAGUUUCUGUUGGUUUGAACAAGGAAAGCUUACAUGCCACCUAGCUUAAUGGGGAGGCCAAGCUUACAGCAAAUGGAUCAGUUACAAAAUUAUGAGAUGAAGUAUGUUAAAUCAGCCAUGUAUCAGAAAAGCAAUCUGUAGCUAAGGGGAUAGCAAAUGGGGUUUCUAAUAGAUGCUAGCUUUAGUUGUUUAGUGUGUAAAGUUUUAUCAUGAUACAUACAUCCGAUUUUUAUAUAAGUUCAUUUUUAAGAUACGCCUUUAAGAGAUUUGCUUUAUUAGUUAAUGUAGUACAUAAUAUAUAUUUUUCCGGAAGUUCAUAAAUCA